AAGGGCACUCAACAAACAUUAAUCCAACUAAUUAUAUUCAUAAACACGGGACAUGGAAAAUAAUGUCACUAACAUGUCGCUUAUGUCAAUGUCGCCAUGAUCGCAAAGCAAUAAAAACGGAGUUAUAUCUCUACCUAGCUUUUAAUUAUAGAAUUAAAUACAUAUGCUAAUUAAUUUAAUAAUCAACUAUAUAUAGAAAAACAUGUGACAUGAAAAGCAUUAACACUACUGUGUAGAGCACGUCGACACAAACUAACACAACUUGAACCACUCAAAUCGGAAUUAAAAUGAUUAAACGGCGGGGAUUAAACGAAUAGUGACAAAACCAUAAGAGUAAAUUGCAAGACCGGUCCUUAAAGUAUUCGGCAGUUUUCAUCUAGGUCUCCACUAUGAAAUUGCAUGUUUGGCGCUCUAUUAUAUGUAAGUGAUUUCAUCCAGGUCCAGAACACACACAACAAGCGUUAGAAGCUGAAGUGGUUGUAUAUAUAGACUUGGUUUAAGCACAAGACCCCUAGCUGGGAGUUCCACGGUGUCCAACGUAGCAGCGUCCACUUGUCACGGUUAUUGCUGGUGUCCGCAGUGGUGUGUGGCCGGAGGUACUGCUGCUGGUGCAUGGCCCCACCGUGUGUGGGGGAGCACAACAUUGGAUGACCACAGACCAAGCCCCCCUCCCAUGUCUACCUCACCCAGCUCGGCAGUGUAACCGGCCGCCAUUGCCGUUACACGGUCGAGUUGUAUGCCACGGGCGUCAUGAUGGUGAGCAGAGGGCGAGCCGGCGGCCACACGUUUGGGCUUAAAUAAGGAGUCAUAUGCUUAAAUUAUAUCUACAUGGAUGGCCACAUCAGCUUCUAACCCUCCUUACACUACCAAAAUGGUGGAGUUCUCCUAGUGUUUUUAGUUAGUAAUAAAACACUACCACUAGUCAAAACACUAGGGAAUCCUCACUAGGAGGUAUUUACUAGGGAAAGUUUAUACUAAAUUUUGAAUGCUAAAACACUAGGAGAACCCCACACUACUAGGAGAAAUUGAAAAUUCUGGUUGUGUUAUAUGUAUUUUAAACCUGGAUGAGGUCACUUAAAUAUAUUAGGUAGUUAGAUAUGCGAUUCCAAGACCCAAAUGAUAACCACAUAAUACUUUAAAUACCGGUCAUGCAAUUUACUCAAACCAUAAAUAUAUCUUCUUCUACCUUGGAUGUCUGUACGUACAACAUGGCCAUCGGAGACAGUGCCGGCCCAAGGGUAGGCCAUCAGGUGCGACACCCAAGGGCCCAGGCAGAAGAGAGGCCAAAACCCAGGUAUACAAACCACAUGUUUAUAGUCCAUUAAGCACCAACAAACUAAUGAGAAGAGAGACAGAGAACUGAUCAACCGGCUCAAGAAGACAACAUCGGUCUUUCUUUCAUAGUUUUCUCCUCCCGGUCUUCAGGUAGAGAAGGAGGUGAGGAGCCACGCUACACUCUAAUAGUGACUAGCGAGUUCGUGACGCACCGACGCAUACACACAGAACCGAGCCGCGCCGCCGCGGAGAGUAUUGUUGGCUGAUUUAUUGUGAGAGAAAAACACUGGUGAAUGGUACGUAGCAGAUUCGGUUGAUAAGUUCAAGCGAACGAUGUCGGGGAACAACGCAUGAUAGCGGCGAC
Molecule: long non-coding RNA, 1639 nt
Filed under: Sorghum bicolor (sorghum)
Lineage: Eukaryota; Viridiplantae; Streptophyta; Magnoliopsida; Poales; Poaceae
Description: long non-coding RNA (SBIC_LNC014926)
Source: RNAcentral